GCUCAGGUGUCUCAGAUGGUUAAGAAUCUGCCUGUAAUUCAGUAAACCCGGGUUUUAUCCCUGGUUUGGGUA
This 72-nucleotide transfer RNA is filed under the name Ovis aries (sheep). It matches the Rfam family "tRNA". From Rfam's summary of the family: Transfer RNA (tRNA) molecules are approximately 80 nucleotides in length. Their secondary structure includes four short double-helical elements and three loops (D, anti-codon, and T loops). The record is from Rfam by way of RNAcentral. Lineage: Eukaryota; Metazoa; Chordata; Mammalia; Artiodactyla; Bovidae.